RNAcentral lists this ribosomal RNA (941 nucleotides) under Escherichia coli. RNAcentral's name for it is "bacterial LSU rRNA". It matches the Rfam family "Bacterial large subunit ribosomal RNA", at positions 332 to 1275 of the family's 2925-position model. The record is from RNAcentral. Lineage: Bacteria; Pseudomonadati; Pseudomonadota; Gammaproteobacteria; Enterobacterales; Enterobacteriaceae.
GUGGAAGCGUCUGGAAAGGCGCGCGAUACAGGGUGACAGCCCCGUACACAAAAAUGCACAUGCUGUGAGCUCGAUGAGUAGGGCGGGACACGUGGUAUCCUGUCUGAAUAUGGGGGGACCAUCCUCCAAGGCUAAAUACUCCUGACUGACCGAUAGUGAACCAGUACCGUGAGGGAAAGGCGAAAAGAACCCCGGCGAGGGGAGUGAAAAAGAACCUGAAACCGUGUACGUACAAGCAGUGGGAGCACGCUUAGGCGUGUGACUGCGUACCUUUUGUAUAAUGGGUCAGCGACUUAUAUUCUGUAGCAAGGUUAACCGAAUAGGGGAGCCGAAGGGAAACCGAGUCUUAACUGGGCGUUAAGUUGCAGGGUAUAGACCCGAAACCCGGUGAUCUAGCCAUGGGCAGGUUGAAGGUUGGGUAACACUAACUGGAGGACCGAACCGACUAAUGUUGAAAAAUUAGCGGAUGACUUGUGGCUGGGGGUGAAAGGCCAAUCAAACCGGGAGAUAGCUGGUUCUCCCCGAAAGCUAUUUAGGUAGCGCCUCGUGAAUUCAUCUCCGGGGGUAGAGCACUGUUUCGGCAAGGGGGUCAUCCCGACUUACCAACCCGAUGCAAACUGCGAAUACCGGAGAAUGUUAUCACGGGAGACACACGGCGGGUGCUAACGUCCGUCGUGAAGAGGGAAACAACCCAGACCGCCAGCUAAGGUCCCAAAGUCAUGGUUAAGUGGGAAACGAUGUGGGAAGGCCCAGACAGCCAGGAUGUUGGCUUAGAAGCAGCCAUCAUUUAAAGAAAGCGUAAUAGCUCACUGGUCGAGUCGGCCUGCGCGGAAGAUGUAACGGGGCUAAACCAUGCACCGAAGCUGCGGCAGCGACGCUGAUGCGUUGUUGGGUAGGGGAGCGUUCUGUAAGCCUGUGAAGGUGUGCUGUGAGGCAUGCUG